CGGGAGCAAUCCUGGUGGCGAGUGGCGAACGGGUGAGUAAUGUAUCGGAACGUGCCCAGUAGUGGGGGAUAGCCCGGCGAAAGCCGGAUUAAUACCGCAUACGACCUAUGGGUGAAAGCGGGGGAUCGCAAGACCUCGCGCUAUUGGAGCGGCCGAUAUCAGAUUAGCUUGUUGGUGGGGUAGAAGCCUACCAAGGCAACGAUCUGUAGCUGGUCUGAGAGGACGACCAGCCACACUGGGACUGAGACACGGCCCAGACUCCUACGGGAGGCAGCAGUGGGGAAUUUUGGACAAUGGGCGUAAGCCUGAUCCAGCCAUGCCGCGUGCGGGAAGAAGGCCUUCGGGUUGUAAACCGCUUUUGUCAGGGACGAAACGCUUCGGGCCAAUACCUCGGAGUAAUGACGGUACCUGAAGAAUAAGCACCGGCUAACUACGUGCCAGCAGCCGCGGUAAUACGUAGGGUGCAAGCGUUAAUCGGAAUUACUGGGCGUAAAGCGUGCGCAGGCGGUCAUGCAAGACAGAUGUGAAAUCCCCGGGCUUAACCUGGGAACUGCAUUUGUGACUGUAUGGCUAGAGUACGGUAGAGGGGGAUGGAAUUCCGCGUGUAGCAGUGAAAUGCGUAGAUAUGCGGAGGAACACCGAUGGCGAAGGCAGUCCCCUGGACCUGUACUGACGCUCAUGUACGAAAGCGUGGAGAGCAAACAGGAUUAGAUACCCUGGUAGUCCACGCCCUAAACGAUGUCAACUGGUUGUUGGACGGCUUGCUGUUCAGUAACGAAGCUAACGCGUGAAGUUGACCGCCUGGGGAGUACGGCCGCAAGGUU
RNAcentral lists this ribosomal RNA (824 nucleotides) under uncultured bacterium. RNAcentral describes it as "bacterial SSU rRNA". It matches the Rfam family "Bacterial small subunit ribosomal RNA", at positions 74 to 895 of the family's 1533-position model. The record is from RNAcentral.